GACGAACGCUGGCGGCGUGCUUAACACAUGCAAGUCGAACGGAAAGGCCCUGCUUUUGUGGGGUGCUCGAGUGGCGAACGGGUGAGUAACACGUGAGUAACCUGCCCUUGACUUUGGGAUAACUUCAGGAAACUGGGGAUACUACCGGAUAGGAGCUCCUGCUGCAUGGGGGGGGUUGGAACGUUUCGGCGGUUGGGGAUGGACUCGCGGCUUAUCAGCUUGUUGGUUGGGUAGUGGCUUACCAAGGCUUUGACGGGUAGCCGGCCUGAGAGGGUGACCGGCCACAUUGGGCCUGAGAGACGGACCAGACUCCUACGGGAGGCAGCGGGGGGGAAUAUUGCACAAUGGGCGGAAGUGUGUUGCAGCAACGCCGCGUGCGUGAUGCCGGCCUUCGGGUUGGAAACCGCUUUAGCCUGUGACGAUGCUGGAGUGACGGUAAUGGGUGAAGAAGCACCGGCUAACUACGUG
RNAcentral lists this ribosomal RNA (468 nucleotides) under uncultured bacterium. Its description in RNAcentral is "partial 16S ribosomal RNA". It matches the Rfam family "Bacterial small subunit ribosomal RNA", at positions 28 to 507 of the family's 1533-position model. The record is from RNAcentral.